CUUAAAGAGUCAACCCUUUGCUUAUCUUCCUAUUUAAAUGUUAGCAGCCGCAUAGGCUGC
This 60-nucleotide unclassified non-coding RNA is filed under the name Vibrio phage ICP1_2011_A. RNAcentral describes it as "3' stem loop crRNA from Vibrio phage ICP1_2011_A (PDB 7WKP, chain B)". The record is from RNAcentral. Lineage: Duplodnaviria; Heunggongvirae; Uroviricota; Caudoviricetes.